Diceros bicornis minor is the source of this 134-nucleotide small nucleolar RNA. RefSeq annotates it as small nucleolar RNA SNORA31. Lineage: Eukaryota; Metazoa; Chordata; Mammalia; Perissodactyla; Rhinocerotidae. The record is from RefSeq and is a predicted model, not a curated record. The transcript has a single exon.
CUAUAUCUAUUUGACAGACCUUGAGCAGUUACUGUCUGCUGCUAAUGUUUCCAUGGCAGACGGAAGAAAAAAGUGUCCUUGAGCUUUCUGUCUGUCUGUGUGUGGCAGCCAAGAUUGAACAGGGGAACACAGAG